Molecule: ribosomal RNA, 468 nt
Filed under: uncultured bacterium
Lineage: Bacteria
Description: partial 16S ribosomal RNA
Rfam family: Bacterial small subunit ribosomal RNA
Source: RNAcentral
GACGAACGCUGGCGGCGUGCUUAACACAUGCAAGUCGAACGGAAAGGCCCUGCUUGUGUGGGGUGCUCGAGUGGCGAACGGGUGAGUAACACGUGAGUAACCUGCCCUUGACUUUGGGAUAACUUCAGGAAACUGGGGCUAAUACCGGAUAGGAGCUCCUGCUGCAUGGUGGGGGUUGGAAAGUUUCGGCGGUUGGGGAUGGACUCGCGGCUUAUCAGCUUGUUGGUGGGGUAGUGGCUUACCAAGGCUUUGACGGGUAGCCGGCCUGAGAGGGUGACCGGGCACAUUAGGACUGAGAUACGGCCCAGACUCCUACGGGAGGCAGCGGUGGGGAAUAUUGCACAAUGGGCGGGAGCCUGAUGCAGCAACGCCGCGUGCGGGAAGACGGCCUUCGGGUUGGAAACCGCUUUCGCCUGUGACGAGGCGUGAGUGACGGUAAUGGGUAAAGAAGCACCGGCUAACUACGUG